Molecule: ribosomal RNA, 576 nt
Filed under: uncultured eukaryote
Lineage: Eukaryota
Description: SSU rRNA
Rfam family: Eukaryotic small subunit ribosomal RNA
Source: RNAcentral
UAAAAACCCCGACUUCGGAAGGGGUGUAUUUAUUAGAUACAAAACCAAUGCCCUUCGGGGCUCUUUGGUGAUUCAUGAUAACUAUACGAAUCGCACGGCCUUGCGCCGGCGAUGGUUCAUUCAAAUUUCUUCCCUAUCAACUUUCGAUGUUUGGGUAUUGGCCAAACAUGGUUGCAACGGGUAACGGAGGGUUAGGGCUCGACCCCGGAGAAGGAGCCUGAGAAACGGCUACUACAUCCAAGGAAGGCAGCAGGCGCGCAAAUUACCCAAUCCCGACUCGGGGAGGUAGUGACAAUAAAUACUGAUACAGGGCCCUUUCGGGCCUUGUAAUUGGAAUGAGUACAAUUUAAAUCCCUUAACGAGGAACAAUUGGAGGGCAAGUCUGGUGCCAGCAGCCGCGGUAAUUCCAGCUCCAAUAGCGUAUAUUAAAGUUGUUGUGGUUAAAAAGCUCGUAGUUGAACCUUGGGCCUGGCUGGCCGGUCCGCCUCACCGCGUGCACUGGUCCGGCCGGGCCUUUCCUUCUGUGGAACCCCAUACCCUUCACUAGGCGUGGCGGGGAAACAAGAAAUUUACUUU